AUUGAACGCUGGCGGCAGGCUUAACACAUGCAAGUCGAGCGGGGAAGAGUAGCUUGCUACUUUACCUAGCGGCGGACGGGUGAGUAAUGCUUAGGAAUCUGCCUAUUAGUGGGGGACAACAUCUCGAAAGGGAUGCUAAUACCGCAUACGUCCUACGGGAGAAAGCAGGGGACCUUCGGGCCUUGCGCUAAUAGCUGAGCCUAAGUCGGAUUAGCUAGUUGGUGGGGUAAAGGCCACCAAGGCGACGAUCUGUAGCGGGUCUGAGAGGAUGAUCCGCCACACGGGGACUGAGACACGGCCCAGACUCCUACGGGAGGCAGCAGUGGGGAAUAUUGGACAAUGGGGGGAACCCUGAUCCAGCCAUGCCGCGUGUGUGAAGAAGGCCUUUUGGUUGUAAAGCACUUUAAGCGAGGAGGAGGCUACCGAGAUUAAUACUCUUGGAUAGUGGACGUUACUCGCAGAAUAAGCACCGGCUAACUCUGUGCCAGCAGCCGCCGUAA
RNAcentral lists this ribosomal RNA (500 nucleotides) under uncultured bacterium. Its description in RNAcentral is "partial 16S ribosomal RNA". It matches the Rfam family "Bacterial small subunit ribosomal RNA", at positions 30 to 523 of the family's 1533-position model. The record is from RNAcentral.